AAAGAACAUAUUGAAGAUCCCAUAGCUGGGCAGCAAAUAAGUGAAGAAGCAGAAAAGUAAUGAGGCAGACGCAGAAGAUACCAAAUAGGACCUGACCCACAAAUAUCAAGCACUGAAGAUCCCAGAGCCGGGCAGCAAAGAAGUAAAUCCCUUAGGUGUAGAAGCAGAAAAGUAAUGAGGCAGACCCAGAAGAGAACCUCAA
Long non-coding RNA from Hibiscus syriacus, 202 nucleotides. RefSeq lists it as uncharacterized. The transcript is spliced from 2 exons. NCBI's taxonomy places the organism in Eukaryota, Viridiplantae, Streptophyta, Magnoliopsida, Malvales, Malvaceae. The record is from RefSeq and is a predicted model, not a curated record.